UAGCCUUGAUGAAUUAACAGUCUGCCUUCUAGCCACUUUUUCAAAACAGAGUGAGUUCCUAGUUUUUGUAUACUUUCUCCCAGAUCCCAAUCCAUAGCCAUGAAAAUCAUCUCCUUCAGGAGAAGAGCCCUGAAAAUAGAAGGAAGUUUAACAGUUAAAACAUUACUAGUAGAAAUGCUUAUCUGCACCUAUACCUGUCUUCUCCUUUCUGUUGUUCUAGCAAUGGAACUCAGCAGUCUGGCUGUUAGUGCAUGUUUCUCUUAAGAACUAAUGCUUACUGAUGCUAAAGACAAAUACAUACUUCUGCAAAUGUCUUGUUCUGGAAUCUUUUCCAUAAUGUCAUUAGAUGUGCUAAUGUUUGACGCCUUUUUUUUCCCACAGCUCCAGCUUUCUCUUUAAUAUAUAUUGGUGGAAGUGUAGAAAUUACUAAUCUGACUUACACAAAUGAUCUCAGUGAUCCCAGCUCCCAGAAAUUCCUCCUGCAAGCAGAGGCAAUCCAAAAUUAUCUUGCAGAAUCCUAUGAGUGUUCCACCUUGGGAAAGUAUUAUUUGAAGUCCAUAGUGGCUGCUUUCAGUGAAGGAGAGUACGGACUUCGAGCUUACUACUGGAAUACAUUUUGGGCACCACUGGAUAUUACUGAUUCUCUUAAAAAGUUAACCCCCUUGGAACAAAAAGAAAUGAGUAGUAAACAAAUCCCUCAUAUGUUCAGUACUUCUGGGGAAGAAGAUUUUGAUCUUGUUACAAUGGAGCUUUUUGGUAACAAUGUACCUGUCAUUUAAUAUCUAUUCUGUCUAUUUUUCUUUCCCUCGAUUUCAUCUUUGGUUCGUGUAACUGAUAGCUACUGAAUUUCAGUUUCAGAUUCUACAGAAUACGAUGUGAUGCUAAAAUCAGGUAAUUAUUCUUCAAUCUCAUAUUACUCAUAUUACUUUAGGGAAAAAAAGAAGAAACAACAGAAAAACAACCUAUAAUAGGAAAAUGGCAGUUUCUCAGUUAUCCUUAUAUCUGUGGGGCUUAUGAAUCAAACCAAACUAGAGAUCUUCCCUGGCUUGAAAAUAGCUUACAGGUUUUCUUAUGGUGUUCUGAGCAGCAUGGCUGAAAUUGAAUACUCUGCACUGAACUGAAUUGAACUGUGGGUCCUUGGCAUCUUAAAAAAAAAAAAAAAAAAAAAAAGCUACUGCAUAUAGCUAAACAGAGUUUAUUUUCCUUGUGACUAGUUUAUUCAUAGUUAGUGAUCAUUCAAAUUCUGUAGAACUUUAGUUAACUUUUCUUGGGUUUUCCGUAACAUGUGUGUCUCAGGAUUGGCUUCCUAUACUUAGUGUUCUCAUUGCAUGAAGGCAGGUCAAGAAAUGGCAAAGGAAGAGGUAGGUUUCUGGCAGAGAUUCUAGCUGUUGCAGACAAGUCGCCUCCUGCUUGCUGAGUGUGCGAUGAGCCAGUGGUGAUGGUGAAGCACUGUGCUUCUUUGUCCAGAGCAGAAGGAGAAGGUGAUACAGCCUGGAAGGGAAAGGGGUAGAUUUGUGAAAAUAAGUCAAGAGGAGAUUAAAAUAA
Molecule: long non-coding RNA, 1545 nt
Organism: Numida meleagris (helmeted guineafowl)
Lineage: Eukaryota; Metazoa; Chordata; Aves; Galliformes; Numididae
Source: Ensembl